AGUGAACGCUGGCGGUAGGCCUAACACAUGCAAGUCGAACGGCAGCACAGGAGAGCUUGCUCUCUGGGUGGCGAGUGGCGGACGGGUGAGGAAUACAUCGGAAUCUGCCCAGUCGUGGGGGAUAACGUAGGGAAACUUACGCUAAUACCGCAUACGUCCUUCGGGUGAAAGAGGGGGAUCGCAAGACCUCUCGCGAUUGGAUGAGCCGAUGUCGGAUUAGCUAGUUGGCGGGGUAAUGGCCCACCAAGGCGACGAUCCGUAGCUGGUCUGAGAGGAUGAUCAGCCACACUGGAACUGAGACACGGUCCAGACUCCUACGGGAGGCAGCAGUGGGGAAUAUUGGACAAUGGGCGCAAGCCUGAUCCAGCCAUACCGCGUGGGUGAAGAAGGCCUUCGGGUUGUAAAGCCCUUUUGUUGGGAAAGAAAUCUUUCAGGCUAAUACCCUGGGAGGAUGACGGUACCCAAAGAAUAAGCACCGGCUAACUUCGUG
Molecule: ribosomal RNA, 490 nt
Filed under: uncultured bacterium
Lineage: Bacteria
Description: partial 16S ribosomal RNA
Rfam family: Bacterial small subunit ribosomal RNA
Source: RNAcentral